Molecule: long non-coding RNA, 950 nt
Filed under: Rattus norvegicus (Norway rat)
Lineage: Eukaryota; Metazoa; Chordata; Mammalia; Rodentia; Muridae
Description: long non-coding RNA NONRATT013599
Source: RNAcentral
UAAAUCAGAAUAUGUGUAUGAUAUUGCUAUGCUGUGUACUGUGUGCCAGCCUAUCUGGGUUUGAAGGAUGCCUCUGUCACUUGGGAUUUUUGCCAAGAUAGUUACUGUGACUCUGGUUCCUUGUGUAAAAUGGGGUUUAUAGAAUCUUUGUUUCUUGAUUAGGGUUACUAUUGCUGUGAUGAAACACCAUGACCAAAGAAACUUGGGGGAAGGAAAGGGUUUGACUUACAUUUCCACAUCACGGUUUGUCAAAGGAAGUCAGGACAGAAACUUGGCAGGGCAAGAACCCCGAAGCAGGAGCUGGCACAGAGACCAUGGAGGGGUGCUGCUUACUGACUUGCUUCACCUGGCUUGCUCAGCCUACUUUCUUAUAGAACCUAGGAACCAGCCCAGGGGUGGCACCAUCUACGAUGUGCUGAGCCCUCCUCAAUCACAAAUUAAGAAAAUGCCCUACAGACUUGCCUACAGCCUUAUCUUAUUGAGGUAUUUUCUUAAUUAGAAUUCUUCUUCUCACAUGACAAUAUCUUGUAUCAAGCUGACAUAAAGCUAUCCAGCACAGGGGGCCUUGUCGUUUUUGAGAAUGGGAUGGAAACGCAUGUAACAAUAUUCAGUUCGAAUUCAGCAACUGUAAAGGCUGUACUCUUAACUUGGAGAAGUGACCAACAGAUAAUGGAUUAUAAGGUCUGUGUUGUAAUAAAUGGUGCUCAUUUACCUAGCCCUCAAGUUAGCCCACACAUUAUUUUCUACUUUCAUGAGGGCUAUGAAUGCAUCUGAACUGAUAAAGUAGUGAAGCAGCAAAAUCUGAUAAAAUUAACAGAUCCAAUGUGUGAAAGUAUAUGUCAGUUGUAUUCAUGUGAACCUAGAAUUUAAAAGUAAACUCGUUCUAAACUGCUUAUUAGUGUGAUGCAAUAUCAAUUUAUAUUUUUCAUGUAAUAAACUUACUGUAUUUU